AAACACACAAGCAAAGAUGAAAGCUCAACAAGAAAGCACACAAGCAAUGAUGGCUAUGCUUAACACUAUGAAAUCCGAAAUGGACCGAUUAACACAAGCCUCAAUUAAAGGAAACUCACAGAGUUCUGCGCAAUUGGGUGAAGAUUAAGGCCAUUGCAUAAGCUUCCCUCAUUUUUUGGUAUAUGAGUAUGUCCCGGAAUAUGAUGAGAUUACAUCUGAGUUGAUAUGGGAGGUGGAAAGACUAAGUUAUGUUCUUGAAUCAAGUCCUAAUUAUUGUAUAUCCUUUUUUGGCUCAAAAACAAUUAUAGCUAAAGCUACCAUUCAUAUCUAUUGUAUCCACUAAGAACAUUGAUCAUGUCUUUUUUGGGUACAAGUUUCUUAUACAUGUUCAUGUUGAAUACAGUUUCAGACUUUGUUUUUGUGUGAAGAAAAUCUGGAGUGAAAAGUGCUCAUUUUUUGUC
This is a long non-coding RNA of Macadamia integrifolia, 461 nucleotides long. RefSeq lists it as uncharacterized. The transcript has 3 exons. The record is from RefSeq and is a predicted model, not a curated record. Lineage: Eukaryota; Viridiplantae; Streptophyta; Magnoliopsida; Proteales; Proteaceae.